Molecule: long non-coding RNA, 114 nt
Organism: Lontra canadensis (Northern American river otter)
Lineage: Eukaryota; Metazoa; Chordata; Mammalia; Carnivora; Mustelidae
Exons: 2
Source: RefSeq, a predicted model, not a curated record
CCCCUGAAAGUUGCUCCCAAAGUGAAAGCCACGGCCGCCCCCGCAGGAGCGCCAUCACAGCCUCAGGACCUUGAGUUUACCAAAUUACCAAACGGCUUAGUGAUUGCUUCUCUG